Molecule: transfer-messenger RNA, 352 nt
Filed under: Planctomycetota bacterium
Lineage: Bacteria; Pseudomonadati; Planctomycetota
Rfam family: transfer-messenger RNA
About the family: Bacterial tmRNA, also known as 10Sa RNA or SsrA, is named for its dual tRNA and mRNA-like properties. Its role is to liberate the mRNA from a stalled ribosome. To accomplish this part of the tmRNA is used as a reading frame that ends in a translation stop signal.
Source: RNAcentral
GGGGGUGAUCGGUUUCGACCGUGGAGUCGAUUGCCAGGGAAGCGUGUCGAGGACGCCAGUGACCUCGUAAAUCAUCCGGCAAAACCAUAAAUGCUGACAACAGCUACGCUCUCGCAGCCUAAAUAGUGCUCCGAGCGUGCUGCAUCCUUCGCCUGAGGGGAUGCAGAGCGACAUUGCUAUCAGGCUGGCGCGAAGGCCGUGUCUCAGGGCCAAGCGCGAGAUCUACUGGGGCUCGUCCUUCGCAAGCCUGUUCGUCGGCGUGCGGGGGAUUAAUCCAAAGACGAAAUACACACGUAGAUGCCCUGAUGAUCCGUUUCGCGGCACGCGGGUUCGAUUCCCGCCACCUCCACCA